UUCACGGAGAGUUUGAUCCUGGCUCAGGACGAACGCUGGCGGCGCGCUUAAUACAUGCAAGUCGAGCGAGAACCAGAGCUUCGGCUCUGGGGACAGCGGCGAACGGGUGAGUAACACGUGAGUAAUCUGCCCUCGACACCGGGAUAGCCCGGGGAAACCCGGAUUAAUACCGGAUGGCCUCUCGAGC
This 187-nucleotide ribosomal RNA is filed under the name Actinomycetota bacterium. Its description in RNAcentral is "partial 16S ribosomal RNA". It matches the Rfam family "Bacterial small subunit ribosomal RNA", at positions 1 to 186 of the family's 1533-position model. The record is from RNAcentral. Lineage: Bacteria; Bacillati; Actinomycetota.